CGGAGCUUCAUGUAGCUUGCUUUUGAAGAUCAGCGGCGGACGGGUGAGUAACACGUGGGCAACCUGCCUGUAAGACUGGGAUAACUUCGGGAAACCGGAGCUAAUACCGGAUAAUCCUUUCCCUCACAUGAGGGAAAGCUGAAAGACGGUUUCGGCUGUCACUUACAGAUGGGCCCGCGGCGCAUUAGCUAGUUGGUGAGGUAACGGCUCACCAAGGCAACGAUGCGUAGCCGACCUGAGAGGGUGAUCGGCCACACUGGGACUGAGACACGGCCCAGACUCCUACGGGAGGCAGCAGUAGGGAAUCUUCCGCAAUGGACGAAAGUCUGACGGAGCAACGCCGCGUGAGCGAUGAAGGCCUUCGGGUCGUAAAGCUCUGUUGUCAGGGAAGAACAAGUACCGGAGUAACUGCCGGUACCUUGACGGUACCUGACCAGAAAGCCACGGCUAACUACGUGCCAGCAGCCGCGGUAAUACGUAGGUGGCAAGCGUUGUCCGGAAUUAUUGGGCGUAAAGCGCGCGCAGGCGGUUCCUUAAGUCUGAUGUGAAAGCCCCCGGCUCAACCGGGGAGGGUCAUUGGAAACUGGGGAACUUGAGUGCAGAAGAGGAGAGCGGAAUUCCACGUGUAGCGGUGAAAUGCGUAGAGAUGUGGAGGAACACCAGUGGCGAAGGCGGCUCUCUGGUCUGUAACUGACGCUGAGGCGCGAAAGCGUGGGGAGCGAACAGGAUUAGAUACCCUGGUAGUCCACGCCGUAAAACGAUGAGUGCUAAGUGUUAGAGGGUUUCCGCCCUUUAGUGCUGCAGCAAACGCAUUAAGCACUCCGCCUGGGGAGUACGGCCGCAAGGCUGAAACUCAAAGGAAUUGACGGGGGCCCGCACAAGCGGUGGAGCAUGUGGUUUAAUUCGAAGCAACGCGAAGAACCCUUACCAGUCUUGACAUCCGUCUGACAACCCUAGAGAUAGGGCGUUCCCCUUCGGGG
This 980-nucleotide ribosomal RNA is filed under the name Mesobacillus subterraneus. RNAcentral describes it as "bacterial SSU rRNA". It matches the Rfam family "Bacterial small subunit ribosomal RNA", at positions 67 to 1026 of the family's 1533-position model. The record is from RNAcentral. Lineage: Bacteria; Bacillati; Bacillota; Bacilli; Caryophanales; Bacillaceae.